This 1438-nucleotide ribosomal RNA is filed under the name metagenome. RNAcentral's name for it is "bacterial SSU rRNA". It matches the Rfam family "Archaeal small subunit ribosomal RNA". The record is from RNAcentral.
UCCAGUUGAUCCUGCUGGAGAACGCUGCUAGUGGAAUUCGACUAAGCCAUGCAAGUCAGAGACCCUUGAGGUCUCGGCGUACGGCUCAGUAACACGUAAGUAAUCUACCCUAUGGUGGCGGAUAACCUUGGGAAACUGAGGGUAAUACGCCAUAGAAGAACGAUACUGGAACGUUUGUUCUUUUAAAGUCUUCGGACGCCGUAGGAUGGGCUUGCGGUGGAUUAGGCUGUUGGUGGGGUAAUGGCCCACCAAACCUGUGAUCCAUACGGGCUCUGAGAGGAGUAGCCCGGAGAAGGGUACUGAGACAAGGACCCUAGCCCUACGGGGUGCAGCAGGCGCGAAAACUUUGCAAUGCGCGAAAGCGUGACAGGGGGAUUCCACGUGCAGAUUUUAUCUGCUUUUCUCUAGCCUAAAAAGCUAGGGGAAUAAGGGCUGGGCAACAUUCGUGCCAGCCGCCGCGGUAAUACGAACAGCUCGAGUGGCGUUCACGUAUAUUGGGCCUGAAGCGUGCGUAGCCGGUCAAGUAUGUUCUUGGUGAAAUCCUGCGAUUUAAUCGUGGGAAUUGCCAAGAAAACUGCUAGACUUGGGGCCGGGAAGGGUCGGAGGUACUCUGGGGGUAGGGGUAAAAUCCUAUAAUCCUUAGAGGACUAACGGUGGCGAAGGCGUCCGACUGGAACGGGCCCGACCGUGAGGCACGAAGGCUAGGGGAGCGACCCGGAUUAGAUACCCGGUUAGUCCUAGCUGUAAAUGAUGCAAGUUUGGUAUUGCACAAUCUACGAGGUUAUGCAGUGCCGUAGGGAAGCCGUUAAACUUGCCGCCUGGGGAGUACGGUCGCAAGACUGAAACUUAAAGGAAUUGGCGGGAGAGUACCACAAGGGGUGGAGGCUGCGGUUUAAUUGGAUACAACGCCGGACAACUCACCAGGAAUGACAGCACUAUGAUGGUCAGUCUGAAGGGCUUACUUGAGGCGCUGAGAGGUGGUGCAUGGCCAACGUCAGCUCGUGCAGUAAUGUGUCCUGUUAAGUCAGGCAACGAGCGAGACCCACACUUCCAGUUGCGAUUUCCGUUCUUCGGGACGGGAAGCACUCUGGAGGGACCGCCGUGGAUAACACGGAGGAAGGGGUGGGCGACGUUAGGUCAGUAUGCCCCGAAUUUCCUGGGCUACACGCGGCCUACAAUGCGACGGACAAUAGGAUGCAACCCCGAAAGGGGGAGCUAACCCCGUAAACCGUCGCGUAGUUUGGAUUGAGGGUUGGGACUCACCCUCAUGAAAAUGGAAUCCCUAGUAAUCGUGUAUCAUUAUUGCACGGUGAAUACGUCCCUUCUCUUUGCACACACCGCCCGUCAAACCAUCCGAGUGAGGCUUGGACGGGGCCUGAUCCACCAAGGGUUAGGUCGAAUCCGUGCUUUGUGAGGAGGGUUAAGUCGUAACAAGGUA